This 496-nucleotide ribosomal RNA is filed under the name uncultured bacterium. Its description in RNAcentral is "partial 16S ribosomal RNA". It matches the Rfam family "Bacterial small subunit ribosomal RNA", at positions 29 to 507 of the family's 1533-position model. The record is from RNAcentral.
AUGAACGCUGGCGGCGUGCCUAAUACAUGCAAGUCGAGCGAACGGACGAGAAGCUUGCUUCUCUGAUGUUAGCGGCGGACGGGUGAGUAACACGUGGAUAACCUACCUAUAAGACUGGGAUAACUUCGGGAAACCGGAGCUAAUACCGGAUAAUAUUUUGAACCGCAUGGUUCAAAAGUGAAAGACGGUCUUGCUGUCACUUAUAGAUGGAUCCGCGCUGCAUUAGCUAGUUGGUAAGGUAACGGCUUACCAAGGCAACGAUGCAUAGCCGACCUGAGAGCGUGAUCGGCCACACUGGAACUGAGACACGGUCCAGACUCCUACGGGAGGCAGCAGUAGGGAAUCUUCCGCAAUGGGCGAAAGCCUGACGGAGCAACGCCGCGUGAGUGAUGAAGGUCUUCGGAUCGUAAAACUCUGUUAUUAGGGAAGAACAUAUGUGUAAGUAACUGUGCACAUCUUGACGGUACCUAAUCAGAAAGCCACGGCUAACUACGUG